GACGAACGCUGGCGGCGUGCUUAACACAUGCAAGUCGAACGGAAAGGCCCUGCUUUUGUGGGGUGCUCGAGUGGCGAACGGGUGAGUAACACGUGAGUAACCUGCCCUUGACUUUGGGAUAACUUCAGGAAACUGGGGCUAAUACCGGAUAGGAGCUCCUGCUGCAUGGUGGGGGUUGGAAAGUUUCGGCGGUUGGGGAUGGACUCGCGGCUUAUCAGCUUGUUGGUGGGGUAGUGGCUUACCAAGGCUUUGACGGGUAGCCGGCCUGAGAGGGUGACCGGCCACAUUGGGACGGAGAUACGGCCCAGACUCCUACGGGAGGCGGCAGUGGGGAAUAUUGCACAAUGGGCGGAAGCCUGAUGCAGCAACGCCGCGUGCGGGAUGACGGCCUUCGGGUUGUAAACCGCUUUCGCCUGUGACGAAGCGUGAGUGACGGUAAUGGGUAAAGAAGCACCGGCUAACUACGUG
This 468-nucleotide ribosomal RNA is filed under the name uncultured bacterium. Its description in RNAcentral is "partial 16S ribosomal RNA". It matches the Rfam family "Bacterial small subunit ribosomal RNA", at positions 28 to 507 of the family's 1533-position model. The record is from RNAcentral.